RNAcentral lists this ribosomal RNA (486 nucleotides) under uncultured bacterium. RNAcentral describes it as "partial 16S ribosomal RNA". It matches the Rfam family "Bacterial small subunit ribosomal RNA", at positions 30 to 507 of the family's 1533-position model. The record is from RNAcentral.
AUUGAACGCUGGCGGCAUGCCUUACACAUGCCAGUCGAACGGCAGCACGGGUGCUUGCACCUGGUGGCGAGUGGCGAACGGGUGAGUAAUACAUCGGAACAUGUCCUGUAGUGGGGGAUAGCCCGGCGAAAGCCGGAUUAAUACCGCAUACGAUCUACGGAUGAAAGCGGGGGACCUUCGGGCCUCGCGCUAUAGGGUUGGCCGAUGGCUGAUUAGCUAGUUGGUGGGGUAAAGGCCUACCAAGGCGACGAUCAGUAGCUGGUCUGAGAGGACGACCAGCCACACUGGGACUGAGACACGGCCCAGACUCCUACGGGAGGCAGCAGUGGGGAAUUUUGGACAAUGGGCGAAAGCCUGAUCCAGCAAUGCCGCGUGUGUGAAGUAGGCCUUCGGGUUGUAAAGCACUUUUGUCCGGAAAGAAAUCCUUGGCCCUAAUACGGUCGGGGGAUGACGGUACCGGAAGAAUAAGCACCGGCUAACUACGUG